Molecule: non-coding RNA, 21 nt
Filed under: Caenorhabditis elegans
Lineage: Eukaryota; Metazoa; Nematoda; Chromadorea; Rhabditida; Rhabditidae
Source: RNAcentral
UGAUCCGAUUGGAAAAUAGGG